RNAcentral lists this ribosomal RNA (575 nucleotides) under Ustilago hordei. RNAcentral describes it as "LSU rRNA". It matches the Rfam family "Eukaryotic large subunit ribosomal RNA", at positions 50 to 631 of the family's 3401-position model. The record is from RNAcentral. Lineage: Eukaryota; Fungi; Basidiomycota; Ustilaginomycetes; Ustilaginales; Ustilaginaceae.
GCGGAGGAAAAGAAACUAACAAGGAUUCCCCUAGUAACGGCGAGUGAAGAGGGAAGAGCCCAAGAUUGAAAGCUGGCGUCUUUGGCGUCCGCAUUGUAAUCUCAAGAAGUGUUUUCCGCUUCGGACCAUGCCUAAGUCCCUUGGAAAAGGGCAUCAUAGAGGGUGAUAAUCCCGUACAUGGCAUGGAGCGCCCGAAGCUUUGUGAUACACUUUCUAAGAGUCGAGUUGUUUGGGAAUGCAGCUCAAAAUGGGUGGUAAAUGCCAUCUAAGGCUAAAUAUUGGGGAGAGACCGAUAGCGAACAAGUACAGUGAUGGAAAGAUGAAAAGAACUUUGAAAAGAGAGUUAAACAGUACGUGAAAUUGCCAAAAGGGAAGGGUAGGAGGUCAGAGAUGCGGUCUGGGAUUCAGCCUUGCUUUUGCUGGGUGUUUUUCUCAGAUUGCAGGCCAACGUCGGUUUUGGGCGCUGGAGAAGGGUGGAAGGAAUGUGGCACCUCUCGGGGUGUGUUAUAGCCUUCUACUGGAUACAGUGACCGAGACCGAGGACAGCAGCGUACUCGCAAGAGCGGGCCUUCGGG